This 82-nucleotide small nucleolar RNA is filed under the name Capra hircus (goat). RNAcentral describes it as "Small nucleolar RNA SNORA42/SNORA80 family (ENSCHIG00000005787.1)". The record is from RNAcentral. Lineage: Eukaryota; Metazoa; Chordata; Mammalia; Artiodactyla; Bovidae.
ACAUGGUCUACCCAUGCUAGAGAAAACUUCAGCCCAGCCUUCUUAUCUGUGGGCUAUGAACACUGAGGGGGGCUGUACAGUG